This 253-nucleotide ribosomal RNA is filed under the name uncultured bacterium. RNAcentral's name for it is "partial 16S ribosomal RNA". It matches the Rfam family "Bacterial small subunit ribosomal RNA", at positions 524 to 776 of the family's 1533-position model. The record is from RNAcentral.
UACGUAGGGUGCAGGCGUUAAUCGGAAUUACUGGGCGUAAAGCGUGCGCAGGCGGUCUUUUAAGUCAGAUGUGAAAUCCCCGGGCUUAACCUGGGAACUGCGUUUGAAACUGGAAGGCUAGGGUGUGGCAGAGGGGGGUGGAAUUCCACGUGUAGCAGUGAAAUGCGUAGAGAUGUGGAGGAGCACCGAUGGCGAAGGCAGCCCCCUGGGCUAACACUGACGCUCAUGCACGAAAGCGUGGGGAGCAAACAGG